This 413-nucleotide long non-coding RNA is filed under the name Citrus x clementina. RNAcentral's name for it is "Citrus clementina (C. clementina) long non-coding RNA (CCLE_LNC003641)". The record is from RNAcentral. Lineage: Eukaryota; Viridiplantae; Streptophyta; Magnoliopsida; Sapindales; Rutaceae.
ACAGAAACCCUACCCACAAGUGCAAAAAUAACAUAAAUAGGACAAAUCUCCAACACCCACUUCAUAAAGUCAAAAGGACACAAAUCCUUAAAAACCUUUCAAAUUACAUCAUACAGUAAACAAAAAAUUACAUUUAUAUAACAAAAAAUUACAUAUAUAUUUCCCUAAAAUGAAACUGAAGAACAUCCGGAUAAGAAAAAAUAAUAAUAAUAAAACGCAGAAUCGAAUCGGGUUUUAUUUAGGUACCCUUACUCUUAUCCCCUCUGAAGAUGUGUGUUUUAUUAACCCUUUAGCUUAAAAAACUAACAGCGCUUGAGCAAAUUGUAUUCACCUUUCUCUUGUUCUUUGAUUUCUGUUUGUAACUUUGCUUUCUGCGCUGGUUGCACAGUGAAACCCUUAUGGAUUUGAUUCAG